Molecule: long non-coding RNA, 6271 nt
Filed under: Sus scrofa (pig)
Lineage: Eukaryota; Metazoa; Chordata; Mammalia; Artiodactyla; Suidae
Description: lncRNA (ENSSSCG00030012311.1)
Source: RNAcentral
UUUUUUUAUUUUUCUCCCUAAUGUUUUAUGGUUUUCAGUAUAGAGGUGUUACUCAUAUUUUAAUACUGAUUGUAUUUAAUGUCUUACGUGAAUAUAAAUAUUAUUUAAAGUUUUUAUUUUGGAGUUCCUGUUGUGACUCAGCAGGUUAAGAAUCCGACAUAAUAUCCAUGAGGAUGCAGGUUUGAUCCCCGGCCUCUCUCAGUGGGCUAAGGAUCUGGUGUUGCCACAAGCUGUGGUACAGGUCCCAGAUGCAACUUGGAUCUGGCACUGCCAUGCCUGUGGUGUAGGCCUGCAGCUGCAGCUCUGAUUCAACCCUUAGGCUGGGAACUUCCCUUCCAUAUGCUGCAGGUAUGGCCAUAAAAAGAAAAGUAAAUAAAAUAAAAUAAAAAUUUUAUUUCUAGUUGUUUGUUUCUAGUAUUUAAAUAAAUAGUUGAACUUUGUGUACUGAUCUUGUAUCUAGAAACCUUGUUAAAUUCAUCUUUUAAUUUUAAUGGUUUAUUUUUAUGAGUUUUCAGGGUACUCAAUUAUACUGUCUGCAAAUUAUGAUGGUUUUAUGUUUUCCUUUCAAGCUUUUAUGAUAUUUUUUUAUUUUUUACCUUAUUUCAUUGCCCAGAACCUCUAAUUGAAUGCUGAUUAGAAAUGAUGCAGACAUCUCUGCCUUAUUACUGAUUUCAGGAGAAAAGCUUUUAACAUUUCUCCAUUAAGUAUAAAGUUUGCUGUAGGUUUUUACAGAAACAUUUUAAAUUUUAAAUUAAAGAACUCCCUUUUUAUUUCUAGGUUUCUGCAAGUUUUUGGGAGCUGAAAUUUACCAAACAAUUACCCUGCAUCUAUUGAGAUGAUCAUAUAAAUUUUCCCCCUUUAUUCUGUUAAGGCAGAAAAUUGCAUUGAUUGAUUUUUCUAACCUAAAACAACCAAGUAUUCCUGGAAUAAACUCAAUUUGGUCAUGAUGAUUUAGUCACAUAUAUGUAAUACUGAAUUCUCUUUAUAAAUAUUUUGUAUAUGAUUUCUGCAACUAUACUCAUGAACGUGAGAAGCUUUUAACAUUCUUUUUUUGUUCGUUUGUUUCAUUCUUAUUAGAUUUUUAUGUCAAGGGAUAGCUCUGGAAUUUUGGCUCUUAAAGUCUUGGCUGCCUUGGUUGUUCUCUGAUAUCCUCAACUAGCUGCAUUUGUUUGUUUUCAAUGCUAUUCAGCUCUUGUAAUUGUGUUCAGAGAGGGUUUGUUUGACACAAGCUACCCAAUUAUCGCCAUAAGCAAAACUUCUGCAUUUUACAAAUGUGAUGAACCAACCAAAUUUCAAACAAAUUUCUAACUAUCAGUCAACCUUUUGACUUAUUUCAGUUCCUAAAAAAAUCUUGGGUUACUAAAAGUGUAGUUUUGACUUUCAGUGUCACUUAGUGCCCUUAUCUGUUAAAACAGAGUUGUAGGAAAAUAAAUAAAAUUUAAUUAUAGACAUAAUAUUUUGUCCCCACAAAGAAGGAAAAAAAAUAACUUAGUUGGAUAAUGUUCCAUCUUUGGUAUUUUUAAAAUAUUAAUCAAUUGUUAUAGUGAAAGAGCACCAUAGCAUCAUCAAUUUUGGUACUCAAAAAUUUCAUUGGGCAAAAGAGGAGGGACUAUUUAUAUCCUAUAACAACUAUCAGGAAGAGAAGACAUCUGGGCAGCAAGAUGAACGAAUUACAUUCAUUAGUUUUAAAUGGAUGUUUAAUAAAUAUCUUGGAUUAUAAGGAAUAUGAGAUGGAUUCUAUAGUAGACAUAUGGUAAAGACAAUCUGAAAUACAUAUAAACAUCUAAAAAGAGGAGGGUAAGAUGAGAAUAGAGAAGUUGAGAUAACUCUACCAAUUGUUGAACCCUUAGUAUGCACUAAGGUGCUUUGCUUGGGGCUUUGCCGGCAUUAUCUCACUUAACUACCUGCAAACAUAAUGAGGUAUCUUUAUUCCCGUUUUAUAAAAUAGGAAAUUAAGGCUCGGUUAGAAAAAACAACUUUUUCCAAAAUCGCAAAGAUAGUAAGUAGGAUUCAAAUCUAGCUCUGUUUGACUCUAGAACCCACACUCUUGCUACUAAAUCAGGCUGGGAUUAAACAGAAGCGAAACCAAGUUUUCUUAUCAGUAAAGGCUAGAGUCUCUAUUUUAAGCAUUGCGAAAGGGGGUUAUGGGAAGGAAGACUUUAGUUAUAUGUUUAUGGUUUGUUGGGUAAGGAUUUUAUGUGGGGUGUGUAUUUCCCUUGUCUCUGGAGUUCUUGUUAUAUUCUCAAGUUAAAACAUUUCCUGUUUACUACUGACUGGGCUAACAUCCAAUAACCACACACUAUAAACAAAUUCCAACAUUUUUCUACCCAAUGUAGAGUUAGGUCCGUGUCUAUGGCUGACCUGCUCAGUGGUCUCGGAAAUAGUGCCAAUUAAGGCCAGGUCAGGGGUUAGAUCUGCAUUUCCUAAAUGUGUUUCACAGAACGUACUAGUUUUACAUGAUAUUAACAGCUAUUAUCAGGAAAAAAAGGAAGCAUCUAGGGGUGGUCUGCAGCCAAAUAUGGUUUAAAAAACUCUGGGUUAAACCAGUUAAAUUUAUUUCAGACUUUUCUAUACCUUAAAAAGUAUAUUAAUAUAUACACAUGUAAUAUAUACAUGUAUGUUAAUAUACACACGACUCUUCAGAGGGAGGUAUAGUGUAAGUAUUUGCAAAAUGUGUCUGGCUCCAAAAUGAUUUGAGGAACAUCUUCCAGAACAGUUGUUACACAGACCGUAUUUGGGGGAGGGAGGGGUUUUGUAGCAACAAACUACAUCAUUGGUCAUGAAGGGAGAUAUAAAAGUCCUAUGUACCAACAAAAAAUGAACCACCUAAAAGUUGAGAAUUAUGUUUGAGGACUUAAGCCCAGGAGACAGCCUAUGAGAUAGCUCUGAGGGACUGUUCUAAAGACGUAAGGGAGGAGCCAGGAUAUACAGGAGUUUUUGGAAAAAAAAUAACAACAACAACAAAAACAGGUAGUGGGAACAUCAAAAUAUUAAAGAAAACCAGACAUCUCAAGCGAAUGAAUUUGUGCUUUCCUAUGCAUGGGAAAAUGCAGGAGUCUGGGCUCCCUGAAAUUAUUCCUUUGAUAUACACCUUAACUAUUUAGGGCCAGUAUUCUGUUUUUCUCUAUCCUGAUUUCCCUCAGGGUGCACCUUUGGGGGUGGCUGCUGAGGCUGAUGGCUUGAUGGCUGCAAACCUCCUUCAUUUACCGACAUUCUUGUCCACAGUAUAAACAAAGCGGCCCCUUGCUUUGGCCAUCAUAGUCAAGUGGCAUAGAUCCCAUCACAAAAGGCUGGCACAGAGCCUGUGUGACCUCCCGAAGAGAUUACAAUUAGGUCACAUCUCUGCAGCCAUGAUAUAACGGUUUAAAUGAAACAGAAACUUAUUUCUCAUGUAAAAGUCUCAAGGGGAGUACUUCAGGUUGGCAGGUUCUCUCAACUCUGGAAGCUGCCUGAGGGGUCCCAGGUUCCUUCCAUCUCACGGCUCUGCUCCUCUGGGGCGUUAGCCUCUUCCACGCACCUGCAGCUGGUUCCCUGGCUUGUGCACUUUCCACUUAAUAAAAGAGAGUCUUGGGCAAGCAGUUUUCUUUCUAUCAGCUUAGGCUGAAAUGACAUACAUCAGAUUCACACAGCCAUGAAUCACACAGCCAUGCCUAGCUGCAAAGCUGGCUGGGAAAUCCAGUCUCUAACUAGGCAGUUAUGUGCCCAAUAAGAAGGAAAGAAGAAAUUUCAGAAGAACAGCGAAGACUCUGCCGCGCUACAGUUGAGAUGAACACUAGCUGGUACUCACUACCUGGGCACGACUCCAUUUACUAAUGAACAGCCAGUUCAGACUGACCAAAUCCUUCCGAGAAAAAUAUUGAGUUCCUGUCAGUGUGAUACUCAAGUACUCCAAUUUAUGAAGCAAGGAAUUUCUCAGAAGAGCUGAUUAUCUGUCAGGGCUGGAGGAUCUGUGCAGCAAGACCGAGGGAGCUUUGAGGGUCAGUAAACAAUUCAUAGCCAAUUUCCUUGCAGGCUCAUUUCUUAUUGUCCUUUAGUUUCCUUAGCUAAUUUUUAAAAAAUGGCUCAAAGAGGGGAGGAAAACUGGCAGAUCUUCUAGACCAUCUAGAUGUUACACAACUUUGGCACGUACAACACUACGGGGACAAGUCCUGGGAUGUGGCAAAAUGAUGAUGAUGAUGAUAAUGCCUCUCAGAUAAAAAAUCCAUUAUAUGGUAAAUACUUAAAUUUUUCUGUUUAUUAUGGUGUUUUGACAUCUUUAGAAAACCUUUCUGGCCGGGAGAGACUGCCCUCCCUGGGCUAGCCGAUUUGUAGAGAGAUAAAAAAGGACCCAGUCAGGAGCAUGCCUGAGACACGCAAACGAACCAGUCCAGAGCCUUACUUCCUCUCCUGGGCCCAUACACCCCAGGAGGCAAUACUCCUCUAACCCAGUCAUCCCAGGGCCAGGUGCCAGGCAACUAGGGACUAUCCCUAGAGCCAAAGCCUGCAGAUUUUCCUCAAAGUACUCAAUCCUGAAGCAUUGAUACUGCUCAGCCUGCCUUUCCCAAGGAAACUCCAAUAAAGGCACUGGGCUAAACUUGCCCUCCCACCUGUCUUCUGACCACCCUGGUGACUUUCCCAUGUGGCCCUGUGUGGUGUGCUGUGCCCUCAUGGAUUGUGAGUAUAAAAAACUUCAUUUUUUCCUGAACUUCUCCUCUGUCUCCUGUGGCCACACCUAACUGACCAUUUUAUAAAAGAAUACAGAACACCAGUUGAGAGAGGUUUAUAUAGCCAACCGGGGAAAGUGGGUCUGCUGGUCUGCCUGCCUUGUGUUUCACUUCAUCCUGCCCUAAGGAUGCUGCCACAUGUCCUGGGUAUUCUAGGUUCUGCUCUUUAGAGCUACUCCCAUGCAAUGGCAACACACCCCUUGGCAAAGCCAAGGUCACUGCCAAGCCUGCUGAGUGGGUAGAGUCCAUACAGAAUGAUUCAGAGGAUGAAAUCCCCCAAAUUACUUCUCUAACUACCUAGAUCAGAAAUUUCACCAUCUCAAGUCAAGGAGCCUUAUUCCUCCAGCUCCAUUUUUCUUUCUCAGGAUGUCUUUGGCUAUUCUGGGUCUUUUGUGCUUCCAAACAAACUUUAAAAUAUUUUGUUCACGUUCUCUGAAAAAUGUCCUUGGUAAUCUGAUAGAGAUUGCAUUGAAUCUGUAGAUCGACUUGGGUAGUAUAGUCAUUUUGAUAAUAUUGAUUCUUCCAAUCCAAGAGCAUGGUAUGUCUUUCCAUCUGUUUGCGCCAUCUUUGAUUUCUUUCAUCAGCGUCUUAUAGUUUUCACAGUACAGGUCUUUUGUCUCUCUAGGUAGGUUUAUUCCUAAGUAUUUUUUUUCCUUUUUGAUGUGAUGGUAAGUGGGGUUGUUUCCCUAAUUUCUCUUUCUGAUCUUUCGUUGUUAGUAUAUAGAAAUGCAGUUGAUUUCUGUGUAUUGAUUUUGUAUCCUGCGACUUUGCCAAAUUCAUUGAUGAGCUCUAACAGUUUUCUGGUAGCGUCUUUAGAAUUUUCUACGUAUAGUACCAUGUCAUCCGCAAAUAGUGAUAAUUUUACUUAUUUCUUUCCAAUUUGGAUUCCUUUUAUUCCUUUUCUUCUCUGAUUGCCAUGGCUAGGACUUCUAAAACUAUGUUGAAUAGUAGUGGUAAGAGUGGAUAUCCUUGUCUUGUUCCUGAUCUCAGCGGGAAUUCUUUCAGCUUUUCACCAUUGAGAAUGAUGUUAGCUCUGGGUUUGUCAUACAUGGCCUUUACUAUGUUGAGGUAGGUUCCCUCUAUGCCCACUUUCUGAAGGGUGUUUAUCAGAAAUGGGUGUUGGAUUUUGUCAAAGGCGUUUUCUGCAUCUAUUGAGGGGAUCAUAUGGUUUUCAUCCCUCAGUUUGUUAAUGUGGUGUAUCACACCGAUUGAUUUGCAGAUAUUGAAGAAUCCUUGCAUCUCUGGGAUAAAUCCCACCUGAUCAUAAUGUACAAUCCUUUUACUAUAUUGUUGGAUUCAUUUGCUAGUGUUUUGUUAAGGAUUUUUGCAUCUAUGUUUAUCAGUGAAAUUGGCAUGUAAUUUUCUUUUUUUGUGUGUGGUAUCUUUGUCUGCAUUUUGUAUUAGGGUGACGGUGCCUCAUAGAAUGCGUUUGGGAGUAUUCUUUCCUGAGCAAUUUUUUGGAAUAGUUCCAGAAGGAUAGGUGUUAGCUCUUCUCUAAAUGUUUGAUAGAAUUCUCCUGUGAAGCCAUCUGGUCCUGGACUUUUGUUUGUUGGAAGUUUUUAAAUCAC